Molecule: ribosomal RNA, 253 nt
Filed under: uncultured bacterium
Lineage: Bacteria
Description: partial 16S ribosomal RNA
Rfam family: Bacterial small subunit ribosomal RNA
Source: RNAcentral
UACGUAGGAGGCAAGCGUUGUCCGGAUUUAUUGGGCGUAAAGCGCGCGUAGGCGGUUUUUUAAGUCUGAUGUGAAAGCCCACGGCUCAACCGUGGAGGGUCAUUGGAAACUGGAAAACUUGAGUGCAGAAGAGGAAGGGGGAAUUCCAUGUGUAGCGGUGAAAUGCGCAGAGAUAUGGAGGAACACCAGUGGCGAAGGCGACUUUCUGGUCUGCAACUGACGCUGAUGUGCGAAAGCGAGGGGAGCGAACGGG